GAUUAGUAUAGGGAGUAUAGAGAGUAACAAUGUGGAUUAGUAUAAUGAGUAUAGGGGAGUGUAUCGUAUUAUAGGUUAGUAUAGGGAGUAAUCAUGUAGACUAGUAUAGAGAGUAUAGAGGAGUGUAGAUUAGUAUAGAGAGUAUAGGGUAGUGUAGGGUAGUAUAGAGAGUAUAGGAUCAGAUAGGGGAGUUGAGGCAGUAUAGGGUAUUAUAGAGUCAUAGAGUAAAAUUAGUAUAGGGAUUAUAAGGUAGUAUAAGGAGUAUAGUGUAGUAUAAGGGAUGGUAAGGUAGUAUAAGGAGUAUAGUGUAGUAUAAGGGAUUGUAAGGUAGUAUAAGGAGUAUAGUGUAGUAUAAGGGAUUGUAAGGUAGUAUAAGGAGUAUAGUGUAGUAUAGUAUAGUGUAUAGUGUAGGGAUUGUAAGGUAGUAUAAGGAGUAUAGUGUAGUAUAAGGGAUUGUAAGGUAGUAUAAGGAGUAUAGUGUAGUAUAAGGGAUUGUAAGGUAGUAUAAGGAGUAUAGUGUAGUAUAGUAUAGUGUAUAGUGUAGGGAUUGUAAGGUAGUAUAAGGAGUAUAGUGUAGUAUAAGGGAUUGUAAGGUAGUAUAAGGAGUAUAGAAUAGUAUAGUAUAAUGGGUUAGUGUAUAUAACGUAGAGCAGGAGAAGACAUAGACCCGGCCGGGAGGAGGGAUACCGGGUCGGGGGGAGGAAGAGGAGAACCUGAGGAGCACCAGGACCUGCUGGAGGGAGUGGCCUCAGAGGGGGACGCCGGGACUUUCUGCUGCCUUUUUAAUGAGAUG
This is a long non-coding RNA of Astyanax mexicanus (Mexican tetra), 793 nucleotides long. RefSeq lists it as uncharacterized. The record is from RefSeq and is a predicted model, not a curated record. NCBI's taxonomy places the organism in Eukaryota, Metazoa, Chordata, Actinopteri, Characiformes, Acestrorhamphidae. The transcript has 4 exons.